This is a non-coding RNA of Peromyscus maniculatus bairdii (prairie deer mouse), 2310 nucleotides long. The record is from RefSeq and is a predicted model, not a curated record. Lineage: Eukaryota; Metazoa; Chordata; Mammalia; Rodentia; Cricetidae.
AUAGGAUUAAGGGUGUGUGCUACCACUGUGUGGCCUCUAUGUCUAAUCUAGUGGCUGGCUCUGUCCUCCGAUUCCCAGGUAAGUUUAUUAGGGUACACAAUAUAUUGGGGCACACAAUAUAUCUCCACAGAGCUGGUAAGCAGUAUGUCUCCAUGGUCUCUGCUUUGGUUUUGGCUUCAAGCUCCUCUUUUGAGUUCCUGCCUCGGCUUUCCUUGAUGACGGACUGUAACCCAACUGUAACCCGUAAGUCAAGUUAAACCCUUUCCUCCCCUGAUCACUUUUGGUCAGAGUGUUUAUUAGAGCAACAGGAAGGCAGACUAGAACAUUUCCCCAGGAGUUAGGUUUGGAAAUGAAGCCUGGCUUUCAGCUUUUCAGGCUUGUUUUGGUUGUUCUGAUUUAAAUUUAAAAACAAUUUAGAAUCAGAGUGUCAAUUUUUGCAAAACACACCUUUUUUGAUAUGAAUUACAUUAAAUCCAUAGAUAAAUCUGCAGAGUAUUGCUGUCCUAAUGAUACUAAGUCCUGUGAAUGUGGAUGUCUGUUUAAUGGGUCUUACAAAAUCUUUUUCAACAGUGUUUCAUAGUUUUCACAGUCCAAGUCUUACAGUUCUUUUGGUAAGUUUAUUUUGUAUGUGAUUCUCUCCAACUGCCUUUCUCUCUGCAUACAUACAGAUGCGUGUGUGUGUGUGUGUGUGUGUGUAUGUGUGUGUGUGUGUGUGUGUGUGUGUAUACGUCUUCAUGUACUCAUGUGAAGGGCAGAGGUCAUUGUCAAGAGUUUUUUUCUAUUACUCUGCUUAUUUGAGGCAGGGUCUUUCUCUUUUCCAUUCUGCAAAAUAAUCCGUUAAUAGAAUGAAAAGAAUAUCACUUCCACACACUAUUCGUAUUAAUGUAUGUGGUGAUGUUGAAUUCACUAGGAUGACAGAGUAACCCCAAUAUGAAUACUGUAAGUAUGUAGAGUUAAGUAUACUGUUCCAACCCACUAACCGGCAUGUUUGGAAUCACUGGGAGGUAGCAGCACAUCUAUUACCUGUUGGGUUGGUUUGAAUGAGGAUUGUUUCCCAGAGCAUCAUGUGUUUGGACAGCUGGUUCCUAGUUGGUGGUGCUGUUUGGGGAGUUUAUGAAACUUAGGAGGUAGAGCCUUGCUGAAGGAAAUACGUCACGGGGCGGACUUUCAGAGUUUAUAGCCCACUUUCAGUUUCCUUUCUCUGCUUUCUGUGUGGUGAAAUGUGAUCAGCGUCUUGCCCUGGCUGCCUGCUGCAAUGCCUGCCUCACUGUUUAGGGACUUGGACCCCGCUGGAACUGUAAGCCAAGGAGGAGAUGAUUACCCGGAUAUGGAAGACAAGCUCUCAGGAACUCCAGCUCUUUCCAUAAAAUUUUAAAGUCUUCAUUGUAGAGGUCCCUCACUGCCUUGAUGACCUGCUUAUUGGAGAAAGUGGGGGACAAGGAAAUGCUUCUGGAGGCUGAGAUGAUGUGCUGGUCCUCUGGUACCCAAGACACUGGUCAGCUGCACAUCUACUACACAAGGGCCAGAAGAUGAGGAGUUCCUGGUUGGAGAGUUAGCAGGCUGUCAAUACUGGAUUAUGGUUAAAUUUCUCACAGGUCCAUUCUGUGGCUCUAGUUGUCUCCUCCAGCCAACCAAGGUCGCAGAAUGCUCCUGAACAUCAGUGCUCCUGGGAUGAUCAUUGACAUGAAUAAACAGGGUGUAAGACAGACCCUGGUGGGCUGUGUAUAAGUGGAGUUUUCUGUCUUCUAAUUUCAAUAAUAGGCCAUGCAAAAGGAAGUCAGGGCUCUCAAGUCCUUCCCACACAGAGGGAGCUUUUCAGUGAUACAGAUGUACCCCAGGACAAAGCUUUCUGGACAGAUGCUAUUGAAGACAUAAGUGUAGCUGAAGUUUUCUCCGGUCCUGCCCAGCCCCACGGACCCUGCAGCCGCUUACAUGUUUGCAUGGUAAACACUCUGCUGAUGGAGCCAUCCCCCCAGAUCCCACUUGUUACUUUUAUUGAAUAAAGUAGACAUAUUACAUUUAACUGAUUAAACUAGAAACAUUUAAAACAAACCCCUUUGGUUGAGAGCUUUCAUCUUUUGGAUUUCUGUAUUCUUAGCUGCUGCAAGUGCGUUCUCGGCUGCCCCCACCUCCUGUGCAUGUGACUCCACAGGAAAGGCUUCCUCUUCCAGAGGAGCUGUUCUCAGAGAAAGAGCUAGAGAAUGUGUAAAUGACUGUUCACCACAGCUCCGCAGCCACUUAUAAAAAUUAUCACUCAGAAGCUUAUAUUAAUUAAAACUGUUUGACCAUCAGUUCAGGCCUACCAGUGAC